RNAcentral lists this long non-coding RNA (2951 nucleotides) under Piliocolobus tephrosceles (Ugandan red Colobus). RNAcentral describes it as "lncRNA (ENSPTEG00000011864.1)". Lineage: Eukaryota; Metazoa; Chordata; Mammalia; Primates; Cercopithecidae. The record is from RNAcentral.
CCUUACGAUAGUAUUACGCACAAAUAGUAGCGUAUAUAUGUAUAUACACCUACAUGUNNNNNNNNNNNNNNNNNNNNNNNNNNNNNNNNNNNNNNNNNNNNNNNNNNNNNNNNNNNNNNNNNNNNNNNNNNNNNNNNNNNNNNNNNNNNNNNNNNNNAACAUUUUUAUAUUAUUUACGUUUCCUCUUUUGCCAAAUAUCAUUUGGUGCAUUACGUAUAGUGAAUAUGUACCUAUAAAAUCAAAAGAUAAUAACGAGUAUAACAAUAAACUACAUUUAAUUAAUCACAACAAUGGUACAAAUCCAACGAAUAAAAACUCAGAAUAUGUUACUACUACUACUACUACUUCUGCUGUUGCUGCUAGCAGUAAUACCGAUACUAAUGUCGAAGACAACCUUUAUUUGUCAUUCCUUAAUUGGUUAAAUGGUUUAUUAAAUAACAAAGACUAUUUAAAAUACAUUUCAAAAAAUGUUGAUAAAAAUGCAAGUGAGACAAAAAAUGAAUUGAUUAAUGACAGCACUAAAAUUGUAGAAAAAAUUAAAUCAAUAUCAAGUGUCAAAGAUGAUAAUAAUUUUUUUUCUAAUUUGUUUAAACACAGUGCAAGUGAAGACUUAUAUGUCAUUGACAAGCAUAGCAAAGAACAAAUGAAAAAACUGAAAGAUAACUCAAAUAUUGAGUUUUUUUUUUCAAAGCUUUUUAACGAUUUUAUUAAUAAAAAAAAGGAUGAAAAAGAUGUGAUAAAAAAUAAUUUAACAGAAAAAGAAAAAAAAGUAAAAGAAAGUAAACAUAUGAAUAAUAAUAAUAAUAAUAAUAAUAAUGAUGAAAAAAAUAAAGUAGCCAGUUUUUUAAAUUUAUUUUUAAAAUAUAUUAAUAUGGCAAACGACGAUAACGGGCAUAAAGAUGCAAAUGUUGAAAAAGAAGCUAAUAAAGAAACGGCAAUCGAAAAUGUUUUUUCUUAUUUUCGUAAUUUACGAGGAUCUAAUCAACAAACAAACAAGUUAUCUAACGAAGUAGAUGUUGCAACCGAUUCAACAGUGGAUUCUAUAUUUAGGAAAUUAUUUUUUAAUCAAAAAAGAGAUGCAACAGAAAGCAAGACAGCAGGUGGUACACCAAGCAACAUAACGCAAGACGCAACAAACAAAAUCGAUUUCAUAUUCAAUCUGUUUCCAAAAAAAGAAGAAACAACAAACGAAGGUAAUAAUAGUAACACAAAAGAAGACAAUUCAGUAAACGAAAAUAACAAUAUCAUAAAAAAAAAAUACUUCUGGAACUAUUACGCAUCAGAUAAAGUAAACGAUGAAAAGAGUAAACUAAAUGAAAAAGACGAAAAGGAAAUAAAAACAAAUGAUGCUGACAGUAUACCUGGUAAUAAUAAGUCCAUACCCGUGAUGGAUAGCAUAAAUAGUGACGAUCAAUAUAAACAGCAUUUUAAUUUUUUUAAAACUUUAUGGACUGACAAAAAAACAGAACCUAAGCAUAAAACUGAUGAUAUAAAAAGCGACAAAAAUAGUGUUGAAAGUAUGAAUAAUGCAUUUAGGGGUGGUGAAUACAAUAGUAGUAUUAACGUUGGUAGUAGCAAUGUUAAAGAUAAUAGCAGCUUGAAUGUCGAAACAAAUAAUGAAAGUGUUAGAACAAAUGGUACAUAUUUUAUUAACAAAGAAAAUACUAAUGAUAUGAACAUAUCAUCUUUUACAUCUGAGCCCCAAAACAAUUUUUUUAGUUUUAUCAAAAAAUUUUACUCUAAUGGUAGCAAAUUAAAUAAUAAUAAUGAUAAUAAUAAUAAUAAUAAUAAAACAUUAUCCGAAUUUUUGAAUUCCAAACAUGAGUAUACAGAAGAAAUAGAUUGUGAUCCAGGUGUUGCAUUUAAAGAAUGUAUAAACGAGUGUUCAAAAAGUUUGAAACAAAGUAAAACAAAUAGUAGUAAUAAUAAUACAAAUGAAGGUAGUAAAGAUAAUCAUAAAGCAAUGACAUUUAAUGAUUAUAAAUACCUUGAAAAUUGCAUUAAAAAAUGUAAAAAUGCACAUUUAACUAAUUUUAGUGGUUUAUGUUUAGAUGAAAAUGGAAAUGUUUCAAACAAAAAAAAAAAAAUUGUUAAAUAUUUAAAUAGUGCAGAUAAAAUUAAUACAAACAUUUUUAAUAAUUUUUUAAAUGUUAAUAAUGAUAAAACUAAAAAAGAGUUUCCUGAUAAUUAUGAUAAACAAAAUGAUGAAACAGUUAAAUCGGAACAAUACAUAGAUAUGCACCAAAUUGGGCAAACAACAAACAACAUUAAUAUUGAAAAGGAUAUACAUAGUAAAGAUUUAAGUGCUAGUAUUUUUAACAUACAAUUUAAUAAGAUGAAUAAUAAUGGAAUCGAAAAAAAACCUAUCAAAAAAGCUUCCGAGAAUGAAACUCUAAGUGACAGUUUUUUUAAUUAUCUAACAAACUUUACCAAAUAUGACGACCGAGUUGACAUUUUCUCAAAUAAAAGAAACGAUAGUAAUGCCAACAAAUUUAAUUCGAAAAACUUUGAAAAUGAUAUUAAUCCCAUUGUAACUGCUUUAACAAACAAUGUAACUGAUAAUGGUGGUGGUGAUGAUGAUGAUGAUGAUGAUAAAAACCUUGAUGUUAAUCCAACUGAAUAUAGUACUACUGUUUCUAUUUUUUUCUUGUUUUUAAUAAUGAUAACAAUUUUUGUGUAUAUGUCAGUAAUAACUGAUAUAACCGGUGUGCUUAUUGAAAAAAUUAAAGGGACUAUACGUUGUUUGAUUAAAGAGUUUGGUGCAUUUAAUUUUAACAAUUUGAAACAAGACUAUAAAGAUAACUUAUAUCCAUUACAACAAGAAUAUCCCACUUCUAGUGAAUUUUCUUCACAUUAUGACAACACUAAUAACCCUUACCAUAGUCCAUAUAAUAUAAAUACCACUACUGUUUCAGAUAAUGUGUAUCAUAUACUUAAUGAAGAUACAUCGG